UGAGGAAUAUUGGGCAAUGCCCGAAAGGGUGACCCAGCAACGCCGCGUGGAGGAUGAAGGUCGUAAGAUUGUACACUCCUGUUAGAGGGGAAGAAUAACUAAGUUUGGAGCUUAGUAUGACUGUACCCUCAGAGAAAGCCCCGGCUAACUACGUGCCAGCAGCCGCGGUAAUACGUAGGGGGCAAGCGUUGUCCGGAUUUACUGGGUGUAAAGGGCGCGCAGGCGGAAUGGAAAGUCAGUGGUGAAAUCCUACAGCUUAACUGUAGAACUGCCUUUGAUACUUUCAUUCUUGAGUUCGGGAGAGAGAGACGGAAUUCCAGGUGUAGUGGUGAAAUACGUAGAUAUCUGGAAGAACACCAGUUGCGAAGGCGGUCUCUUGGUCCGAUACUGACGCUGAGGCGCGAAAGCGUGGGGAGCAAACA
This 422-nucleotide ribosomal RNA is filed under the name uncultured bacterium. RNAcentral describes it as "bacterial SSU rRNA". It matches the Rfam family "Bacterial small subunit ribosomal RNA", at positions 355 to 774 of the family's 1533-position model. The record is from RNAcentral.